RNAcentral lists this ribosomal RNA (433 nucleotides) under uncultured bacterium. RNAcentral describes it as "partial 16S ribosomal RNA". It matches the Rfam family "Bacterial small subunit ribosomal RNA", at positions 29 to 507 of the family's 1533-position model. The record is from RNAcentral.
AACGAACGCUGGCGGCAUGCCUAACACAUGCAAGUCGAACGAGACCUUCGGGUCUAGUGGCGCACGGGUGCGUAACGCGUGGGAACCUGCCCUUAGGUUCGGAAUAACUCCCCGAAAGGGGUGCUAAUACCGGAUAAUGUCUUCGGACCAAAGAUUUAUCGCCUUUGGAUGGGCCCGCGUUGGAUUAGCUAGUUGGUAGGGUAAAAGCCUACCAAGGCGACGAUCCAUAGCUGGUCGGAGAGGAUGAUCAGCCACACUGGGACUGAGACACGGCCCAGACUCCUACGCGAGGCAGCAGUGUGUAAUAUUGGACGAUGGGCGAAAGCCUGAUCCAGCAAUGCCGCGUGAGUGAUGAAGGCCUUAGGGUUGUAAAGCUCUUUUACCCGGGAUGAUAAUGACGGUACCGGGAGAAUAAGCUCCGGCUAACUCCGUG